Molecule: ribosomal RNA, 858 nt
Filed under: Triticum aestivum (bread wheat)
Lineage: Eukaryota; Viridiplantae; Streptophyta; Magnoliopsida; Poales; Poaceae
Description: partial small subunit ribosomal RNA
Source: RNAcentral
AUGGAUCCGAAUUCAACUUAACUACUGAAAAUUAAAAUGCUUGGCAACCUAAAAAAAGCUAUAAAGGAUAUCCAUUGCUUUUGCUUUGAGAAGGUUAUUGACUCUGAUGUAACAAAUUAUAAGGACCCAGUUGAAUCAAUUGUAGAGCAGUACCCGCCAUGUUAUUUGGAAGUUCCACAUGUUCAGUACUAUGAUAAUUUUCUUAAAAUUUACCCUGAAGUAACAUAUGACCAAGAAUUGGUGUAUAUAUUUGAGAAACACUCUAAGAAAAAGGUUGUGCACAUGUUCUUUGCAUAUUGUGAUCCAUCUGAACCAUAUGAGCCUAUCACGGAGUGGCAUAGUGAUUACAUAUAUAGCCUAUCUAACGACACAGAACAAGAUGAUAGUUAUCUUCGCAACCCAGUACCUGAGAAUGAGCUUGUUGGUAUUGAUAUGAGGAAAAUAUUUAUUAGGGAUGAACCCAUACCUCUUAUCGUGGUUCCUUGUUCCGAUAUAGAAAAGGACUAAGACAAUGUUCUUGAUCAUAAGAUUGAGGCUGAGAGCAAGGAUGAGAGCAUGUCAGAGGUUGUAGUAGAGGAAGAUGAGGAUGAUGAGGAAUUGCUCGAGGCAGAUCAUGCACCACAUUUAGAAUAUGAUAAAUUAGAUCCUCCAAUGACCGAAGGCAGAAAAUAUCCCAAUAUGGCAGCGUUUAAGUUGGCGCUUUCUUAGCAUGCAAUCAAACAUGAAUUUGAGAACACUGAGAAGAGUGCACCACAUAGGUUCAAGGCUUAUUGUUCAAGAAGGGAUGAAUACAAGUGUCAAUGGAGGCUAUAUGCUUCUACAAUGGAAGAUGAGUGCAUCAUAAUGGUAAUUUUCUAA